AUCCCGCCGGAGGCUACCGCUAUUGGAGUUCGAUUAAGCCAUGCGAGUCGAGAGUCUUAGGGACUCGGCGUACCGCUCAGUAACACGUGGGUAACCUGCCCUAUGCUGGGGAAUAACCUCGGGAAACUGAGAAUAAUGCCCCAUAGUUCACUACGCCUGGAACGGUGAGUGGAUGAAAGCUCCGGCGGCAUAGGAUGGGCCUGCGGCGUAUCAGGUAGUAGGGGGUGUAACGUACCUCCUAGCCUUCGACGCGUACGGGUUGUGAGAGCAAUUGCCCGGAGAUGGAUUCUGAGACACGAAUCCAGGCCCUACGGGGCGCAGCAGGCGCGAAAACUUGACAAUGCGAGAAAUCGUGAUCAGGGGACUCCAGUUGGCUGGAUCAAAAGUCCAGUCUGAACCGACUUUAAAUCGGUCGGGUAAUAGGGGCGGGAAAGACCGGUGCCAGCCGCCGCGGUAAUACCGGCGCCCCAAGUGGUCGUCACUAUUAUUGGGCCUAAAACGUCCGUAGCCGGUUUGGUAAAUCCGUGGGUAAAUCAGACAGCCCAACUGUCUGAAUUCUGCGGGGACUGCCAGACUUGAGACCGGGAGAGGUGCGGGGUACUUGCGGGGUACCGGUAAAAUGGGAUCAUCCCGUAGAGACCACCUGUUGCGAAGGCGCCGCACUAGAACGGAUCUGACGGUCAGGGACGAAGCCUAGGGGCACGAACCGGAUUAGAUACCCGGGUAGUCCUAGGUGUAAACGCUGUGGACUUGGUGUCGGGGACCUUCUGAGGGUUUCCGGUGCCGGAGUGAAGAUGUUAAGUCCACUGCCUGGGGAGUACGGUCGCA
Molecule: ribosomal RNA, 828 nt
Filed under: uncultured Candidatus Poseidoniales archaeon
Lineage: Archaea; Methanobacteriati; Thermoplasmatota; Candidatus Poseidoniia; Candidatus Poseidoniales
Description: SSU rRNA
Rfam family: Archaeal small subunit ribosomal RNA
Source: RNAcentral